UAAAAUUUUAAAAUAACUGUAACUUGGAAACUGCAAUAACCAAAACAUAAGCCUUUUAAUAGUUUUAUUUGCUUUGAGAUGGCACUAUUGUUGACUUCCAGUAGCUAGCCUAGAAGAAAUUCGAAGCUUUGUGCACUUUAAGGGGUUGUUCACUUGUGAACAACUGGGAUAGUUUUUUGGAAAAGUAAUAUAAGAAAACUGAUUUACAUAGUUUUG
This 216-nucleotide unclassified non-coding RNA is filed under the name Hevea brasiliensis (rubber tree). Lineage: Eukaryota; Viridiplantae; Streptophyta; Magnoliopsida; Malpighiales; Euphorbiaceae. The record is from RNAcentral.